This 1873-nucleotide long non-coding RNA is filed under the name Dromaius novaehollandiae (emu). RNAcentral's name for it is "lncRNA (ENSDNVG00000018430.1)". The record is from RNAcentral. Lineage: Eukaryota; Metazoa; Chordata; Aves; Casuariiformes; Dromaiidae.
GGAGAGGGGGAACGAAGGAGGUUGGGUCUGGCGGGAAGGUGAUUUCCCCUCCUGUGGUCACAGCAAAUAGAAGUUUUCUAUUUGGGAGAGUUGGCAAGCAGAAGCCCCUGGCCAAAAGAGUUGUUACUGGGUGUCACUUCAUGGGAGAGGAGCUAAAACAGGCGGGAGGAAGGACCCGAGGCCUUGCACAAAGAGCGUGGCAGAGCUGGGGAGCAGGGACUGGUGGGGAACGGUCGUUUGUAGCCAUUACCAGUGACCUGGUGUGAAUCUGAAAGGGAGGAAAAGACGCGAUCCUGGUCAGGCUGGCUGUGAGCAGGUAGGGAAGCAGCAGAUUCCUCUUGGAGAUAGAUUGUGUGUUGGGCUGCUCCGUUGUGAGGGUUUUGCUCCUUGGUGAGGAAGGUGGUGUUAGUGAACUUAAGUAUCUGGUGUAGAGGUAUAGUUAAAAGACUUUUGGUAGAAAGUAAAAGCUUUAUUUAAAGUCUGGUGCACACUCAGCCCUGCUCUUGAGGGCCCAGUGCCGGGAGGAGGAAGAAGAGGGGGAAUCAGUCCUGCUCUAAGUUCUGCACCCUCCCUUUCAGGCCGGGCAGCACCUGGCRGCUCAGACGUCAGCGCCRCUUCGCUGGGGGUYGCAGGCGGCUACGAGCAUCUCCCCYGGCKCYGUCUCUCUCUGCCGCGACUCUUGGAGCCCUCCCUCCUGCCCGUCGCCUCCUCGUCCCUUGCAGCGUGUCCCAGGGAGGAUGUUCAGUGCAGCAGGAACAGCCGACUGGAUCUCGCUUUCCCUGUGGACCCCAGCGCUGGAGGCCGGAGAACCUGCACAAACAAUGCUGCGUUGAUGCACUGAAGCACCAGCAGGCCCCAGCGAGGAGCACAGCGCUGCYGAUACGGGGAGCGAGGGAGGAUCCCUGCGCUGGAGAUGUCGGGUGCUCGUUGCUGGGAAGAACUGAUACGUCUCCUCUUGCCACCCCUCCACCAGCUCUGCGGGGCCACCGGUUCAGACUCCAGCUGCRAUGAGGAAGGGACCCUCUUUUCCAGAGAUCCCACCCAAAAGAGCAACUGGAUUUUUGCCGUYGUUUUCCCCUCGAGGAGCUGCCRCGGAAGGAAGGGGGCCGGCGUCUGCCAGCUCGUUCUGCUCCCCAGGCAGAGCGGAGUGGGAAUCGGGCACGGUAGCACCGCGCUGGGGUGUUUCGACUCUUGGAAAUAAAACUCGGAGCAAGCCGCAGCUGAGACAAGGUGACGUGUUUUAUUCUGCGCGCGGUACAUUUUAAUCCCUAACAGCUUGCAGACGGACGCAUCCCCCUCCCUCCUCGGGGACCAGCUCGUAGCUGCACCGCUGGAGCUGAGAGGCGGCAGCCGUGGCCAUCGCCCUGCAGCUCCUGCUCCCGCGCCGUAGACGAGGACUCGCGUCCGCAGCGGCUGCUUUCACCUCCCGCCCAGGUUUGCGCUUUAUUUCAGCACAGCCGCAGCCCCGCACUGACCACGUCCCUCAGCGHGGGAGCAGCGAGCGCUCCCCAGGCCAAGUGCUUUGUGUGGGGGCAGACACGGCCCAGGGCUUUUGUCUCCCCACAAAGCACUGAGGCCUGCCMCUGCURCCCUUAAAGGUAAGGUUGAGAGACUUUAAGAGGCUUAAAGUCUCUGGGAACUCUUAAAGUAACUUUAAGAAUAACCUAAGGAACUCGGACAAACUUUAAGAACAUUAGUCUUAAGUUCUUAACAGGCGGCUGAGUUCCUUAGGUUAUUCUUAAAGUUACUUUAAGACUCUUAAAGUAACUUUGAGUUACUUAAUGUCUUCCCAAGUAACUCAAAGCAACUUUAAGGGUAGCCAGAGACUUAAAGGCAGGGGCCAGAGACUUUAAGAGGCUUAAAGUCUCUGGCU